This 407-nucleotide ribosomal RNA is filed under the name uncultured bacterium. Its description in RNAcentral is "partial 16S ribosomal RNA". It matches the Rfam family "Bacterial small subunit ribosomal RNA", at positions 28 to 526 of the family's 1533-position model. The record is from RNAcentral.
GACGAACGCUGGCGGCGCGCUUAACACAUGCAAGUCGAGCGAAGCAGCGGCAGGGUGAUUAACACGUGAGUAACCUGCCUUAGACAUGGGGAUAGCCUCGGGAAACCGGGAUUAUUCCAAAAUGGUCUAAAAUGGACUCGCGUCCCAUUAGUUAGUUGGUGAGGUAACGGCCAACCAAGGCGACUAUGGGUAGCCGGCCGUGGAGGGUGAACGGCCACAUUGGAACUGAGAAACGGUCCAAACUCUACGGGAGGCAGCAGUGGGGAAUAUUGCACAAUGGAGGGAACUCUGAUGCAGCGAGGCCGCGUGAACGAAGAAGGCUUUCGAGUCGUAAAGUUCUUUUAUAUGGGAAGCGGUACCAUAAGAAAAAGCCCCGGCUAACUACGUGCCAGCAGCCGCGGUAAUUC